AGAGCGAACGCUGGCGGCAGGCUUAACACAUGCAAGUCGAGCGCCCCGCAAGGGGAGCGGCAGACGGGUGAGUAACACGUGGGAACGUACCCUUUGGUUCGGAACAACCCAGGGAAACUUGGGCUAAUACCGGAUAAGUCCGUAAGGAGAAAGAUUUAUCGCCAAAGGAUCGGCCCGCGUCUGAUUAGCUAGUUGGUAGGGUAAUGGCCUACCAAGGCUACGAUCAGUAGCUGGUCUGAGAGGAUGAUCAGCCACAUUGGGACUGAGACACGGCCCAAACUCCGUACGGGAGGCAGCAGGU
Molecule: ribosomal RNA, 301 nt
Filed under: uncultured soil bacterium
Lineage: Bacteria
Description: bacterial SSU rRNA
Rfam family: Bacterial small subunit ribosomal RNA
Source: RNAcentral